CUUACACAUGCAAGUCGAACGGCAGCACGGGUGCUUGCACCUGGUGGCGAGUGGCGAACGGGUGAGUAAUACAUCGGAACAUGUCCUGUAGUGGGGGAUAGCCCGGCGAAAGCCGGAUUAAUACCGCAUACGAUCUACAGAUGAAAGCGGGGGACCUUCGGGCCUCGCGCUAUAGGGUUGGCCGAUGGCUGAUUAGCUAGUUGGUGGGGUAAAGGCCUACCAAGGCGACGAUCAGUAGCUGGUCUGAGAGGACGACCAGCCACACUGGGACUGAGACACGGCCCAGACUCCUACGGGAGGCAGCAGUGGGGAAUUUUGGACAAUGGGCGAAAGCCUGAUCCAGCAAUGCCGCGUGUGUGAAGAAGGCCUUCGGGUUGUAAAGCACUUUUGUCCGGAAAGAAAUCCUUGGUUCUAAUAUAGCCGGGGGAUGACGGUACCGGAAGAAUAAGCACCGGCUAACUACGUGCCAGCAGCCGCGGUAAUACGUAGGGUGCGAGCGUUAAUCGGAAUUACUGGGCGUAAAGCGUGCGCAGGCGGUUUGCUAAGACCGAUGUGAAAUCCCCGGGCUCAACCUGGGAACUGCAUUGGUGACUGGCAGGCUAGAGUAUGGCAGAGGGGGGUAGAAUUCCACGUGUAGCAGUGAAAUGCGUACAGAUGUGGAGGAAUACCGAUGGCGAAGGCAGCCCCCUGGGCCAAUACUGACGCUCAUGCACGAAAGCGUGGGGAGCAAACA
This 733-nucleotide ribosomal RNA is filed under the name uncultured beta proteobacterium. Its description in RNAcentral is "bacterial SSU rRNA". It matches the Rfam family "Bacterial small subunit ribosomal RNA", at positions 48 to 774 of the family's 1533-position model. Lineage: Bacteria; Pseudomonadati; Pseudomonadota; Betaproteobacteria. The record is from RNAcentral.